CCAGCAGUGCCAGCCCACCGGCGCCGUGCUAGAUUUCUCACCGGGCCUUAGCUGCCUUCCCGUGGGGCGUGGCUCGGGACCUGCAGCCCGCCAUGCCUGAGCCUCCCACCCCCUCCAUGGGCUCCUGUGCGGCCCGAGCCUCCCCGAUGAGCGCCACCCCCUGCUCCACGGCGCCCAGUCCCAUCGACCACCCAAGGGCUGAGGAGUGCGGACGCAGGGCGCAGGACUGGCACGCAGCUCCACCGGCAGCCCUGGUGCGGGAUCCACUGGGUGAAGCCAGCUGGCCUCCUGAGUCUGGUGGGGCCUUGGAGAAUCUUUAUGUCUAGCUCAGGGAUUGUAAAUACACCAAUGGGCACUCUGUCUCUAGCUCAAGUUUGUAAACACACCAAUCAGCACCCUGUGUCUACUAGCUCAGGGUUUGUGAGUGCACCAAUCGACACUCUGUAUCUAGCUACUCUGGUGGGGCCUUGGAGAACCUUUGUGUCUAUACUCUGUAUCUAACUAAUCUGGUGGGGACGUGGAGAACCUUUGUGUCUAGCUCAGGGAUUGUAAACGCACGAAUCAGCGCCCUGUCAAAACAGACCACUGGGCUCUACCAAUCAGCAGGACGUGGGUGGGGCCAGAUAAGAGAAUAAAAGCAGGCUGCCCGAGCCAGCAGUGGCAACCCGCUCGGGUCCCCUUCCACACUGUGGAAGCUUUGUUCUUUCGCUCUUUGCAAUAAAUCUUGCUACUGCUCACUCUUUGGGUCCACACUGCUUUUAUGAGCUGUAACACUCACCGCGAAGGUCUGCAGCUUCACUCCUGAAGCCAGCGAGACCACGAGCCCACCAGGAGGAACGAACAACUCCAGACGCGCCGCCUUAAGAGCUGUAACACUCACCGUGAAGAUCUGCAGCUUCACUCCUGAGCCAGCGAGACUAGGAACCCACCAGAAGGAAGAAACUCUGAACACAUCCGAACAUCAGAAGGGACAGACUCCAGACGCGCCACCUUAAGAGCUGUAACACUCACCGCGAGGGUCUGCGGCUUCAUUCUUGAAGUCAGUGAGAUCAAGAACCCACCAAUUCCGGACACAAGUGGACACUCAGAAGAAAGGCAGUUCCUACAGGGAGUUUUCAGAGAACAAAGCCUUUCCCCAUCGCGUCCCUCAUCAGAGAAGUGUUUAUGCCUGCUUGUUGAAGAGCUACCUGGACAGGGGUCAGGAGGACUUGGGAAGCCAGGGCCAACUGUGCAAAACACACUCAGUCCUGAGGUUCAUAUGACCACAUAGCACCACUAGCACUACCUCUGAAACACCUUCAGAAGGGAAACAGAUAUUUGACUCCUCAACUUUUCUGUCAGAUGUCAUCAGAAUUGGGUCUUCUGAUCUCCAUCUUUAUUGAGACCAGAAUUAGAGAAAAUAAUCUGAAGUUUCAGUUCAGAGAAGAGUUGUUUGACAGCGUUGGGGCAGGAACCUCUGUCCUAUGCCUUCUGCAUGCUUAUCUCAUUUAAUCUGCCCAGGAAGCUUUAGAAGGGAUGCUUCAGGAUGCUCCAGGCUGAGGUCUGUGAGCCCAAUGUGGCCCUGACACGAAGGUUGUAUGGCACAGUGGCCGUGAUGUCAUCAGUGACAUCACACUCAGGACCUUCAGUGAGUGAGCACCAGCUGCUGGGGAUCCAGAUGUGGCUCGUGUACAGGCUCUCGUACUCCCUGUCAAAGAGAGGAGGGCACAGAGUUACACCAGCCCCUCUGACACAGGCUCAGUUAUGGUUGCAAGUAACUGACUUCGUUCACCUACUUUGUACAGGUAAGUAAAAUAAGUACUUUCUCAUUAUCCUAGCUCCUCCACUCUCCUCCCUACCAACCAUCCAUCGUCCCUUACUCCUUUUAUUGCCAGAUAGGGAAAGCUAGGCAUAAACAUCAAUGUGUCUGGAUCUCUUUUAUCUCUUCAUCUCCAGGGUCAUCACCCUAAUCUCAGCCACUGUCAUUCCUUGCCUUGCUGUGAUCUCCCAGCUUGGACACCUGCCAUUCUCAAAACCAUUCACCACUCAGCAGAUUGUGACGUUUCUCUCCUUAAUGGCUUCCUACAGGACUUAGAAUGGGAUCCAAACUCUUGCCAGUGGUCUUACAAGAUGCUUUGGCCUUCUCUCUCACUCUGCUCCGAAGCGUGAUAUUCUUGCCACAUUGGUCAUUUCUCCAAAAUGCUGAGCACUUUUUGCCUUAGGACCUUUGACUAACUGUUCACUCCAUCUCAAACGCUCUGCCCCUGCUGUUCGCAUGGCUGGCUCCUCUUGUCCUUCAGAUAUGGCAUAAAUAUCACCUCCUCAGAGAGGCCAUCCCAGGCCAUCUAAUAUAAAGGAGCCUCAGUGUCAACUCUCUAUGGCAUCAGCCUUUUAGCUUCCUCCUAGCACUGAUUACUAUCCAAAAUUCCCUAGAGCAGUGCUUUCCAAAAAUAAACUUUCUGUGAUGAUGCAAAUAUUCUAAAUCGAUGUUGUUCAAUAUGGUAACCACUGGCCACAUGUGGCUAUUGAACACCUAAAAUGUGACUAGUGUGGCAGGAAACAGACAUUUUAAUUUAAUUUAAUUUAAUUUAAUUUAAUUUAAAUUUAAAUAGCCAGCUGUGGCUGGUGGCUACCAUACUAGAGAAUGCUGGCCUAGUAUAUUUAUCAUCUGUAUCCUCCUCUAGAUGUAAGCUCUCAAAAUCCAGAAACCUUGUCAACUGUAUCCCUGAGCCUAGAAGAAUGUCUACACAUGUAGGUGUUCAGUCUGUAUUCAUUGUUAAUGAAAUAUAUGGAGCAAUUUCUGUGUCCUUAUCACUAUUCAAUAGCUGCAAGCACCUGAACACCUGGAGAAGACUAGAGCCUGCUCAGCCCCAGGGCCAGCUGACCUUUAGGAUUAUAGUUCGUUUUGGCUCUAGGUAUAAGCUUAUAGUCAGGAAAAGUGAGGACUCCUCCACCCUUAAAGGAUCUGAGUCUCCAGUGAUUUAUCCAUCUCAAGUCAGAGUCAAACCCAUUGGACAGUUGAUUCACUUUUUAAAAUAACUCCACCAAAAUGUGUUAUGCACAUUCAUCUUCCCAGAGAGUUCACUGUCAAAUCCACAGAACAAUUUCCCUUGCUUCUUCAACUCUUUCAAUGCCUAUGCAGACAGAGGGGGUAGAUCUUUGGGGAUAAUCUAUCCCUGGACUCAAAAAGCCACCUUGGGCUCAGGAGGAAGGGCUAUGCCUUCAGGAACCAACUUCUGCUUAAGGGAGAAGAACUAUUAAAAGAAAAAACUCACCCCUGGUAUUCGACAGAAUAGUACACUGUUUCUCCAGGCGCGAUCACUG
RNAcentral lists this long non-coding RNA (3303 nucleotides) under Homo sapiens (human). Its description in RNAcentral is "HSALNT0060991". Lineage: Eukaryota; Metazoa; Chordata; Mammalia; Primates; Hominidae. The record is from RNAcentral.